This 495-nucleotide ribosomal RNA is filed under the name uncultured bacterium. RNAcentral describes it as "partial 16S ribosomal RNA". It matches the Rfam family "Bacterial small subunit ribosomal RNA", at positions 28 to 507 of the family's 1533-position model. The record is from RNAcentral.
GACGAACGCUGGCGGCGUGCCUAAUACAUGCAAGUAGAACGCUGAAGGAGGAGCUUGCUUCUCUGGAUGAGUUGCGAACGGGUGAGUAACGCGUAGGUAACCUGCCUGGUAGCGGGGGAUAACUAUUGGAAACGAUAGCUAAUACCGCAUAAUAGUAGAUGUUGCAUGACAUUUGCUUAAAAGGUGCAAUUGCAUCACUACCAGAUGGACCUGCGUUGCAUUAGCUAGUUGGUGGGGUAACGGCUCACCAAGGCGACGAUACAUAGCCGACCUGAGAGGGUGAUCGGCCACACUGGGACUGAGACACGGCCCAGACUCCUACGGGAGGCAGCAGUAGGGAAUCUUCGGCAAUGGACGGAAGUCUGACCGAGCAACGCCGCGUGAGUGAAGAAGGUUUUCGGAUCGUAAAGCUCUGUUGUAAGAGAAGAACGAGUGUGAGAGUGGAAAGUUCACACUGUGACGGUAUCUUACCAGAAAGGGACGGCUAACUACGUG